Molecule: ribosomal RNA, 383 nt
Filed under: uncultured bacterium
Lineage: Bacteria
Description: bacterial SSU rRNA
Rfam family: Bacterial small subunit ribosomal RNA
Source: RNAcentral
GUAACGCGUGGGAAUCUGCCCUUGGGUACGGAAUAACUCAGAGAAAUUUGUGCUAAUACCGUAUAAUGACUUCGGUCCAAAGAUUUAUCGCCCAAGGAUGAGCCCGCGUAAGAUUAGCUAGUUGGUGGGGUAAAAGCCCACCAAGGCGACGAUCUUUAGCUGGUCUGAGAGGAUGAUCAGCCACACUGGGACUGAGACACGGCCCAGACUCCUACGGGAGGCAGCAGUAGGGAAUAUUGGACAAUGGGCGGAAGCCUGAUCCAGCCAUGCCGCGUGGAGGAUUAAGGCCCUCUGGGUUGUAAACUCCCUUUUAUCUGGGAAGAACCAUUCCGACUUGUCGGAACAUGACGGUACCAGAGGAAUAAGCACCGGCUAACUCCGUG